Chrysemys picta bellii (western painted turtle) is the source of this 3163-nucleotide long non-coding RNA. NCBI's taxonomy places the organism in Eukaryota, Metazoa, Chordata, Testudines, Emydidae. The record is from Ensembl.
GAUUAGUGGGGUUUAGUUUAAGACUUUGUGAAGACAUACUUAAGUUACUGUGUUACAAUUGGUUGUUUGGAAGCUUGAACAGAGUUUAAAUUACUUCACAGUAUCAGGUUAGGCUCAUAUGCCUAGGUGCUGAUGCACAAAGAACAUAAAUGCUAUAAUAUUAGCAGAUUCUUUUUCAGAAGUUCUUUAGAAAAUAUCCCUAAAAAGUGUUACUUUCUGCUAGAUCCUUUACCGCAUUGCUCCAACAAGGAAGUAGUCCCAAGCAUGAAUACUCUGCUUCUGUUUAUGAGUGUGCUAGGUAUAUCCUUUGCUUCUCCAAUCAAAAGAAGCGUAAAUUUGCUUGGAAGUGGCUAUGCAGAAAAUGUUGCCAACGUUAAUGCCAUUAAUGCAAACAAAGAAAUCUUAAGCAAUGGCUCUGGGAAUGCUGGGAGGAACCAACAGAAUGGCGAGAAUGAAAACGAUGGGCACCCAGAAGGAGCAAAAUUCAGUAAUUAUACAAGAGGACCCAAUCAAACUGGAGAGGUGUCUGCAAUUGAUAUUAACUAUCCCCAGAGGGCUUAUGAGGAUAAAUCCAAUAAUCAACCAGCCCCUGAGGACCCUGAUAAUACCCAGGGAACACAAAACAUUGAUCAAAAUGCUGAGCUCCGCACAGGGAAAGGAAUUAACCAUCCUCAUUUAGACCUUCAUGUGAACACAAACCGCACCAGUGAAGAGAAUCCAUCUGAACAUUUACCAGGGAAAAACAGCAUUUAUGGUUCAGCAUGGGCAGAAGAGGGUUUUGCACCUGAGGAUGCAGAGCUCUCCACUGACAAACAAGAUGUCAUAGAAGCCCACAGUGACAGUAGCUUUAACGUAGGGGGAAAGGAUGAGGAUAUGGAUAAUGGCCACCAUCAUUCAGACAACGGUUAUUUUAACGAUGAAGGCAUGCAAAGGGUUGAUCCAGGUAAUGCUGGUGAUAGUGCUGACUCUAACUCUAGUCAGCAGGAAGAAAGCAAUAGCGACUCUGCGCAAUCCACUCCAAAACACUGCAAGAGUAUUCCCAGUGAAUCAAAGAGUUCAAGUAAAGCUGCUCAUCAGAAUACUAGUGUUUCCAAUGAUUCCAUCAGCCCCAGUGCUGCUAGCGCCUUCAGCGACCCCAGUGCCUCAAGUGGCUCCAGCAACCCCAGUGCCUCAAGUGACUCCAGCGACCCCAGUGCCUCAAGUGACUCCAGCGACCCCAGUGCCACAAGUGACUCCAAUAAUUCCAGUGAAUCCAGCAGCUCCAGUAAUUCCAGUGAAUCCAGCAGCUCCAGUAAUUCCAGUGAAUCCAAUGAAACAAGACAGUAGAGUUCAAUAAGUCAAUAGUGACAUUCCAAAGGCAUUAGAUACCAGUCGCCAGCAAAACAGAGAAAAAGGCAAUAGCCUACAAACAGGUAUCAGUGAAAAUAAUUCCGAUGAUUCAAGUAACUAAAACUUAAUUAGUAAAUGGUAACAACCACAACGGAAAAGACACUCCUCCAAUAGUAUCCCAAAAUAUGUACUGUAGCUCUCUAAAGGACUCUAUAUAAUUUGCUUUGGUGGUUGCCUAAUUUCAUUAGUGUUAAAGCUUUUCAUAAUGAAAGAGAAUAUUGUGUUGCAUGAACAAGCAUAUUUGCCUUCUCCAUUUGCAGCCUGUGGUUCAAAUUCUGUUUUCACUGACACCUGUGCAACCCCAGUGACUUGGAUGUCACUUGGAGAUGAAUUUGUUUCAAAUUCAACUCAUUCCAGAAUGUUUCAAUGACAUUGUGUAACUGUGCCUUGUAGCUUAGCACUGCAGAAUCUUAGCGUAAUUUAAUAUUUCAAAUUUUCUUUACACAUUUGUAAUUUCUUAAUCAGAACUACAAGAAAGAUUGUUGUUUACCAUGUUGUGUCAAAGGCAUUUCCUACUGCUGCCUUGUAUCACUGUUAUCUGUAAUCUGUUCAUUCUCUCCAGCUACUCUUCAGCCUCAUCUAUUUGCUGUAGUACUAUAACGUCCCAGGGUGAUGUGCAUUAGAAAGAAAGGGGUGGUUUGGUGGAAUAUGUGAAUUUAGCAGGUAGCACCAGUCCAGUCUCUACUGAGUCUAUCACAUCACAGAAAGCAUAUGUGGCACUAAAUGAUACCCUUGUUGGUAUAAUGACUAAAACGUUCUCUGCUGUAGUUGGCCCCUAUAGGUCAUAAUUGAGGCAUAUAAGUGGAGCAACAUUGGAGGGACUGUACUACUGAGGUGGCUGAGGAAGUUUGGUCUCUAUCUGUAAUAGGACUAUGGAGAACUAUUAUAUUAGUCUUACAAAUGAUGUUUAACUAAAUGUAUAGGCAGUUAGAGCUUGGUGAAAAGGUUUGUUCUUACAUUGUGUUGCUAUUCUUUUUUAGAAAUUGUGAGUAUUACCAGUAAAAUUGACUUCUUCUAAUGGACUCUUGCUGACUAGACAGUGACUUAGGUGCACAGAUGCUGUCUUCAGGAUAUACCCCCACAAAAAAAUGGAAAUCAUUACAAGGUCAGGAAAACAUCACAUCCGAGGCUGUCAAUCUGGCAUCUUUACAAACAGCUACCGCUGACAUCAGUGCGGAUUGAGGAUGCUCAGCACCUCUGGAAAGCAGGCCAGUGGUCUCUGCCCCAAAAGUCUUGCAAUCUAAUUAGACAUCAGGCAGACAGUGACUGACAGACAAUUUGUGACAGUAACAAACAGAGGUAAAAGCGGGGAGGGAAAGAAAAGAGUGAAAGGAACAGGAUCACGUGGUUACUCAGCUAUUGUACAUAUACUUCUUGGCAGGUCCAUUUAAGUUACUUUGGUUAUGGUGAAUUAACUCAUUUCCUGUAGGUAUUUCUAUAAAUGAUGGGGGAGAUUGUGAUUGUCUUAUUCACACAGGUGAGCAGUUCUUCAUGGGACUUCAGUGAAACUACUCACACGAGUAACUGCUUGUUACAUUAUUGAACUGGAUUUAAUUCUAUGGCCUAUGCUAUGUAGGAUGUCAGACUUAGAUAAUCACAACCUUAAAAUCCAUGAUGCUGUGACAAUUUAUAACAGCUCAGGAUCAGCCCCUGUGAAUUUGAGUAAGGGGUUCACAAUCUGCCCCUAUAUUUGUAAAGAUCAUCAUGAAAAAGGUGAAAGAUCUGUAUCAUAUAUUCAAAAAGAUGAUUAUAAUAAACAAACCACCCUCUCUCA